ACCACUCAGGAAUCCUUUCACUGAGAUCUGAGCAAUGGUCUCAGUGGCGAUAAAGCGAGGCAACGUAAACCUGAAACGGAUUUGGAUUAUUUUGUGACAUGCAAGUCCAUUUCAAACAAAC
RNAcentral lists this small nucleolar RNA (121 nucleotides) under Echinops telfairi (small Madagascar hedgehog). RNAcentral's name for it is "Small nucleolar RNA SNORA61 (ENSETEG00000026162.1)". Lineage: Eukaryota; Metazoa; Chordata; Mammalia; Afrosoricida; Tenrecidae. The record is from RNAcentral.